This is a long non-coding RNA of Gallus gallus (chicken), 2171 nucleotides long. NCBI's taxonomy places the organism in Eukaryota, Metazoa, Chordata, Aves, Galliformes, Phasianidae. The record is from Ensembl.
CUCUGAACCUCUGUGUUUUAUAGCGGCUUUGUUUUUUUGACUCCUGUGACUCCAGCAGCCAGGCGUGGCGCCGACCGGCAUCUCUGGGGCCGUCCCUCAUCGGCAGAGGAAAACGUUCGGCAAAGACGAGUAGGAAAAUAACUUUUCGCCUGGUCAAUACCGUCGCUCCCAGCGAGGAGAAAGGAUUGCUGCUAUACACUGACCAAACUGCACCUGGAUGAAUUGCACUGUCACAGCAUUUCAGAGCAAGUUUCACUCAAAAGCAUAAUGAGGAGUCCAUGGCUCAAUGCUGAAGUAAUUGCUGGAACAAGAAGCAUGGCUGCAUUUUGGGAAGCACAUUGAGAACGUCCUUCUCAAUUGAAGUUUUUGCAACUGUCUUUCUUCAGAAUAGAAGAAACCUGAUCUACUUAGAUUGGAACCAUUUCAGCUCUCUGACAGCAAGCUCAGGAUGAAGAUAGGAGUACACGGAACUGCCAUUCAAAUAAACUGACCAACUUGUCCUUACUUGUGGGAACAAGCUCUCUGAAUUCAGUGCCAUUUGCAGAAGAUGGAGCUUUGGGUGCCGGGUAUUUGAGAGCAUGUGGAGGUGGUGACUUUGCAGGGUUUUGUUGAUGCUGUUUUUGUGACGAAGGAUGAGCGCAGGGGUAGAGGAACAAAAGCAUUUUGCUGUUGUAAGAUCUUUCUGGUGGAUUGCAAGCGUGCAACAUCUCAACUAUGAAAAGUAAAUGGAAAGGCUACUUCUUACAGCACCGAAAAGGAUGUAGGAGGAUUGAUGAUGCUGUUCUGCUCAGAGUGAUAAUAUGAGCUUGGAAGAGAUGUGGAAUACGUUAAGAUGUUAGGCGAGCCUUGCUGGUGCUUUUUAAUUUUCGCCUUGAUAGCUACAAAUAAUUCAUUUUGCUCCAGCUGGGAACGUGUCUACAGUGAAAAGGGAAAAAAGUUGCAUUAAAAACCUCUUGAGCGAGUUGCAAACAGCAGAAGCACUGCCUGAGAAGGUACACACUGUUAGCCAGCUGUAAGUCAGCAGCUGCUUGUCCCUUCCUCCUGUAAUGUUUCUGACUCUUCCUUGUGAUUCACUAGCUCAUAACAGAACUUACUCCAUCAGGCAGAUAAUUCAGUUCUCUUGACUAAAUCUGCUCUAGUGCUGUUGUGGGGACUCCCUUCUCUCCAUUGUUCUGCAGCAUGUCAUUCAUCUUGGGCAGCCACAGCAGCGGAGUCCUCAGUAGAACCUACAGAUGGAUUUCUUGGGGCUGUAUCUCUUAAUAACUUAUUUCUUAACUAGCAGAGUUUCCCGUGGCCUUCAUUAGAAAACAAUGAGAGGGAAACAGCAGCAAUUAGUGUGCUGUGGUCCCUGGAAUUCUUUGCUGCUCUGCUAUGAGCUGUUGUGAGAAUCCAGCCUGCACUGCAAAGGGCUACCUGUGCAUGAGUCUGUUCAGCACUUGCACAAAUGGCACCUUGAAACCAGAAAAGAUUCUAUUUUGUAGUUGAAUUCCCUUGUUUCUGGACUUGCUUAUAGGCUUUGCCAAGCAGUGAGAAGAUCAGGUGAAAUUUAACAGCUUUACCAGUCAUCCGAACCAUGGGUGGGAGGAAAAAAUGUUCCAGCCCAAACCUCUGGCUAGCCUAGAAAAUGUGAUUGAUGGCUAUGGACUGUGCUUGCAUAUCAGUUUUCAGCACCUUCUGGACACCUUAAUUUGGCUGGGUGUAGCUUAGGAGUGAUGGCAGACACACUUCUGUGUAGUUUUGGUUCCAGCCUAGUUUUUUUUCUGCUAUAAUUUAGCUUGCCUCAAUUAGUGCUUUCAGCUCUGGCUAGGAUUUGCAGAUCAGUAUUUGCAAAGGGAUUUUAUGUGGAAUCAGCCAGAAAAAGAAACCAAUAUGCGAUUACUUUGUGUGUAUAUGUGCCUACAAAGGUUUCAGUCCAUUCUUCUUGACCGGCAGCAAAAUGGAGACACAAAGUCAAUGUUUGCAAAGGGUUUGCAUGAUUACAUUUCAGAAUUAAUUCAAUAUGAUCCCAAAGAAAACCUCAGCUCUCAGAUUGUUUUAGGAUAAUCUGGUCCCCCAGUUUUGAUUUGGCAACUCUCUUGGAAUCAUAAAAACGAAACAACAUUAUUGAGGCCCCUGGAUUGUUGCAAACUAUAGCAUAAAUGUAAAAUGUCUGAAUAAACCAUUUGAAACUG